UCCCAUCUUUGGUUUUGGUGACCUUUUGCUC
RNAcentral lists this non-coding RNA (31 nucleotides) under Rattus norvegicus (Norway rat). Lineage: Eukaryota; Metazoa; Chordata; Mammalia; Rodentia; Muridae. The record is from RNAcentral.